GAUUAGUGGCGAACGGGUGAGUAACACGUGGGCAAUCUGCCCUUCACUCUGGGACAAGCCCUGGAAACGGGGUCUAAUACCGGAUACGACCACCGACCGCAUGGUCUGGUGGUGGAAAGCUCCGGCGGUGAAGGAUGAGCCCGCGGCCUAUCAGCUUGUUGGUGGGGUGAUGGCCUACCAAGGCGACGACGGGUAGCCGGCCUGAGAGGGCGACCGGCCACACUGGGACUGAGACACGGCCCAGACUCCUACGGGAGGCAGCAGUGGGGAAUAUUGCACAAUGGGCGAAAGCCUGAUGCAGCGACGCCGCGUGAGGGAUGACGGCCUUCGGGUUGUAAACCUCUUUCAGCAGGGAAGAAGCGAGAGUGACGGUACCUGCAGAAGAAGCGCCGGCUAACUACGUGCCAGCAGCCGCGGUAAUACGUAGGGCGCAAGCGUUGUCCGGAAUUAUUGGGCGUAAAGAGCUCGUAGGCGGCUUGUCACGUCGGAUGUGAAAGCCCGGGGCUUAACCCCGGGUCUGCAUUCGAUACGGGCAGGCUAGAGUUCGGUAGGGGAGAUCGGAAUUCCUGGUGUAGCGGUGAAAUGCGCAGAUAUCAGGAGGAACACCGGUGGCGAAGGCGGAUCUCUGGGCCGAUACUGACGCUGAGGAGCGAAAGCGUGGGGA
This 664-nucleotide ribosomal RNA is filed under the name Streptomyces sp. PC5015. Its description in RNAcentral is "bacterial SSU rRNA". It matches the Rfam family "Bacterial small subunit ribosomal RNA", at positions 90 to 767 of the family's 1533-position model. Lineage: Bacteria; Bacillati; Actinomycetota; Actinomycetes; Kitasatosporales; Streptomycetaceae. The record is from RNAcentral.